Molecule: unclassified non-coding RNA, 544 nt
Filed under: Centruroides sculpturatus (bark scorpion)
Lineage: Eukaryota; Metazoa; Arthropoda; Arachnida; Scorpiones; Buthidae
Description: uncharacterized LOC111641540, transcript variant X1
Source: RNAcentral
CAAGCGUUAAGCUUAAUUGCACAUCUGCUAUGGAAAACCAAGAAUUUAAAUCGGCGAAGAGAAGAAUCGAUCAUAAUUUCUAUAAAAUUUUAUUUUUAAUAUUGAGAAUCACUCAAUUAGUGGAUAUUUGUAAUUUGUGAAAUCGCUACGAUCGAAGCAUCGAAAACGUGCGGCAAAUUCUUCACACAAUCUUUUAUAUCUACCUGCAUAACCGCUGCAGUGCUUAUAGUAACAUUAUUGUUAAGUUUGUUCUGCAAAAUACAGAAUUGUCUCUCACAAUAUUUGAUAACGAUGUUUGUGAUCGAUGUGAUAUUCACUUUUAUAUUUGCACACUCCAGCCUCUUCGUAACUUUUAGUAUUAGAAAUUGUGAAAAAUUCAGAUUUGAGAAAAUUUCUGCGUCCAUUUUCACUAUAUUGGAAUUUUUAUGCUUCUAUAUUUCUUCCUCGGCUGAUUUGUGUUGGUUCCGUUCAGUAUAUGAACCUUAUCAAGAUUAACUUUAAUAUUCUUAUAAACUGUAAUUGUUUCAUUGUUAUCAUAAUUUAC